Hyla sarda is the source of this 82-nucleotide non-coding RNA. The record is from the annotation of a RefSeq genome assembly. NCBI's taxonomy places the organism in Eukaryota, Metazoa, Chordata, Amphibia, Anura, Hylidae.
GUAAUCGUGGCCGAGUGGUUAAGGCGAUGGACUCGAAAUCCAUUGGGGUCUCACCACGCAGGUUGAAAUCCUGCUGACUACG